Molecule: long non-coding RNA, 650 nt
Organism: Cydia strobilella
Lineage: Eukaryota; Metazoa; Arthropoda; Insecta; Lepidoptera; Tortricidae
Exons: 3
Source: RefSeq, a predicted model, not a curated record
CGCGCACCUUAGGUACCUUUUUAUUUACUAAUUUCCUGCAACCAAUAAUUGCAAUCGACGACCUGGCAUUCAAACGGACUUUUGACGGACAUUCCACAUACGCGACUGGCAAUUAAUAGGACUCCGACAAUUACUCACGACGACCUGGCUUGGAUUUGGACUCGAAAAUCCGCUACAAUUUGAUACGCCGUACCGUACGCUUUCGAAAACAGAAGUAAUGCAGAAAAAUGCCGCCCACGUGUUCGUAUUACCAAUGCAAGGCCAUGACCGGUCAGAAGUCGAUGUUCCGCUUCCCAACUGGCGACAGUGCUCGAUUGCAAACUUGGAUUGACAACUGUGGUAACAUGACCAUUGCCCACUUGUCUCGAGAUGCUCUUCGUCACAAAUAUGUCUGCAUUGAUCAUUUCGAAAAGCGGUUCAUUCAAAUGAUUGAAUAAGUUAGCCGUACCUGUCCAUUACAAAGGAGAUCCAUCGACAGAGAACUUCCCAGAUUCACCAGUUGCGUCAACAUCAGAAGGCCAAGGACCGACAGAAUUAAAAGUAUUAACACCAAAAAAGUUUACCCUGGUGUUAAAAAUCAAGAAGAAAAUGAGGAGGAAAUAUUUACGACACCGAAAAAACGCAAGCGACCAGCCGAUAGCGACACACCG